UAAGCAUAUUAAUCAGCGGAGGAAAAGAAACUAACCAGGAUUCCCCUAGUAACUGCGAGUGAAGAGGGGAUCGGCUCAAUGUGUG
RNAcentral lists this ribosomal RNA (85 nucleotides) under uncultured Tulasnella. RNAcentral's name for it is "partial 28S ribosomal RNA". It matches the Rfam family "Eukaryotic large subunit ribosomal RNA", at positions 35 to 118 of the family's 3401-position model. The record is from RNAcentral. Lineage: Eukaryota; Fungi; Basidiomycota; Agaricomycetes; Cantharellales; Tulasnellaceae.